Molecule: ribosomal RNA, 381 nt
Filed under: Bacteroides uniformis
Lineage: Bacteria; Pseudomonadati; Bacteroidota; Bacteroidia; Bacteroidales; Bacteroidaceae
Description: partial 16S ribosomal RNA
Rfam family: Bacterial small subunit ribosomal RNA
Source: RNAcentral
UGCAGUUCGAGGGGCAGCAUGAACUUAGCUNGCUAAGUUUGAUGGCGACCGGCGCACGGGUGAGUAACACGUAUCCAACCUGCCGAUGACUCGGGGAUAGCCUUUCGAAAGAAAGAUUAAUACCCGAUGGCAUAGUUCUUCCGCAUGGUNGAACUAUUAAAGAAUUUCGGUCAUCGAUGGGGAUGCGUUCCAUUAGGUUGUUGGCGGGGUAACGGCCCACCAAGCCUUCNAUGGAUANGGGUUCUGAGANGAAGGUCCCCCACAUUGGAACUGANACACGGUCCAAACUCCUACGGGAGGCNCCANUGAGGAAUAUUGGUCACUGGACGAUAGUCUGAACCANCCAAGUAGCGUGAANGAUGACUGCCCUAUGGGUUGNAA